RNAcentral lists this ribosomal RNA (497 nucleotides) under uncultured bacterium. Its description in RNAcentral is "partial 16S ribosomal RNA". It matches the Rfam family "Bacterial small subunit ribosomal RNA", at positions 28 to 507 of the family's 1533-position model. The record is from RNAcentral.
GACGAACGCUGGCGGCGUGCCUAAUACAUGCCAGUCGAGCGAACGGACGAGAAGCUUGCUUCUCUGAUGUUAGCGGCGGACGGGUGAGUAACACGUGGAUAACCUACCUAUAAGACUGGGAUAACUUCGGGAAACCGUAGCUAAUACCGGAUAAUAUUUUGAACCGCAUGGUUCAAAAGUGAAAGACGGUCUUGCUGUCACUUAUAGAUGGAUCCGCGCUGCAUUAGCUAGUUGGUAAGGUAACGGCUUACCAAGGCAACGAUGCAUAGCCGACCUGAGAGGGUGAUCGGCCACACUGGAACUGAGACACGGUCCAGACUCCUACGGGAGGCAGCAGUAGGGAAUCUUCCGCAAUGGGCGAAAGCCUGACGGAGCAACGCCGCGUGAGUGAUGAAGGUCUUCGGAUCGUAAAACUCUGUUAUUAGGGAAGAACAUAUGUGUAAGUAACUGUGCACAUCUUGACGGUACCUAAUCAGAAAGCCACGGCUAACUACGUG